GACAACAACAACAACGCUAUUAUCAGUCUUGUGACUAAUCUACUUUAUUUUCCAACACAAACAAGUAUGAAACUGCAACUUCUAUGUUAUUUCAAAACUGUUUUUAAUCAAUUUUGUGCUCUCUUCAAAGUGACGUUUAUAAAUAAUGCUUUCAUUAUAAGCAGCUAAGCAGCAGAAAAAAGAAUGGAGUCGUCUAGUCUGUAUUCAGACCGAUGUUUUCUUCACAGCAAAUAAUUAUACAAAUGUUGCAUAAUUAUGCACGCCUUAGAUAAUAAAAGAGUUAAGAGAGGAGAUACAGAGUACAAGUAAAAGCGAAAAAGUAGAAAUUAAAUUUAAAAAAAAGAUUCAAAAACAAACGUUAACAUUAAACGUUGUGCAAGAAGUUUAGGGUAUGGUUGCUAAAACAUGCUACAUUUUUGACUCCGUCUUUAGUUGCAAUUGAAAUACUUUGAACGUUCACUUAGCAGGUACAUCAUAGAAUUAUAUGCAGUGUAAUGAUAUGAAGUAAACUGAAAGCGUAAAUUUCUGUGUAUUUCACAGCAUUUCCUGUAAUUUACCGACUCCCUGGUCCGCUAUCUAGGCAUUGCAUUACGGUAUACACGUAGCUCUAGGGACACUAAUACUCGUUGUUUAACCACUUCUAUGAAUGUGUAAGAAAUAUAUAAUAUUAAGAACACUGUGUCAGUGUGAUAAGCACGUUUUUGAUAAUAUAGUCGGAUAAUAUAUUCGUGUUACUCUUUAUUUUAUUGAGAAGUUACUAAACAAUGAUGUUGUGAUCGACGGGAAAACAAUUAUUUGGAAUGUCCAAACUUGAAUGGGAUUGAUUAAAAGUUCAAAAAUGCCAAAUACUGGAAAAGCCGAUGACAGUGACAAAAGGCGCUAAUCGAAGAAAAUAUAUCAGAGACGAACAAUUACACAUGAAUAAGAUAUCCAUGAUCAAGAGAAGAACGAAUAUGCAUGCAUAACAUCCCAGGUCAAAUAUUGAACAAGGAUCGGAAGAAAGAAUAGAUUUAGACAUUUGUGAAAGGAACAAUGGGAACUUUGGAAGUUUACUCUUUCUGAAACGUAUAACUACAACAAAGAUGUGAUCAUUGUAUUAGAAACUGAAUUUUCCAGUCUUCUAGUGGUUUAACUAGCAUACCAAGAUAUAUACCUUCAUGCUUUUAUACACUUAUCUUUUUCAUAUUUUUUUAUUUUUAUAAUAUAUUUGAUCGAAGUAGCAUUGAAAAAAAAAGGAAUAUAAAAAUAUUUAAGAGAAAGUUACUACAUUUUGUACUUGGAAUAACUUAAAGGGGAGAUACGACGUUUCAUUGAUUCUUGAUAUUAGCACAAUUGUAUGUGAUAUCGAUAUCUCAUUUUUAUGGAAUAUAGCGGAAUUGAGAAACAUCGGUUGGACAAGCGAUGCGACCUUGACUCAGCCCAUAUAUUUACUCGUAUAGAAUACCUUUUUGAUCUUAUUUGAAAU
Molecule: long non-coding RNA, 1465 nt
Organism: Mercenaria mercenaria
Lineage: Eukaryota; Metazoa; Mollusca; Bivalvia; Venerida; Veneridae
Exons: 3
Source: RefSeq, a predicted model, not a curated record